This 393-nucleotide ribosomal RNA is filed under the name uncultured bacterium. RNAcentral's name for it is "partial 16S ribosomal RNA". It matches the Rfam family "Bacterial small subunit ribosomal RNA", at positions 523 to 918 of the family's 1533-position model. The record is from RNAcentral.
AUACGGAGGAUCCGAGCGUUAUCCGGAUUUAUUGGGUUUAAAGGGAGCGUAGGCGGACGCUUAAGUCAGUUGUGAAAGUUUGCGGCUCAACCGUAAAAUUGCAGUUGAUACUGGGUGUCUUGAGUACAGUAGAGGCAGGCGGAAUUUGUGGGUGAGGGGUGGAAUGCUUAGAUAUCACGAAGAACUCCGAUUGCGAAGGCAGCCUGCUGGACUGUAACUGACGCUGAUGCUCGAAAGUGUGGGUAUCAAACAGGAUUAGAUACCCUGGUAGUCCACACAGUAAACGAUGAAUACUCGCUGUUUGCGAUAUACAGUAAGCGGCCAAGCGAAAGCGUUAAGUAUUCCACCUGGGGAGUACGCCGGCAACGGUGAAACUCAAAGGAAUUGACGGGG